CCUACGGGAGGCAGCAGUAGGGAAUCUUUCACAAUGGGCGAAAGCCUGAUGGAGCAACGCCGCGUGCAGGAUGAAGGCCUUCGGGUUGUAAACUGCUUUUAUAAGGGAGAAAUAUGCUGGUAAUUUAUGAAUAAGAAUCUGCCAAAUACGUGCCCGCAGCCGCGGUCAUACGUAGGCUCCGCGCUGUUUCUGGGGUUUCUGGGUGUAUCGAGGUGCGUAGGUGGUAUAAUAAGUAUCUAUUGAAAUCUGGUGGCACAACAAUUCGAAAUACUAUCUAAACUGUUAAGCUCGAGAGCGUUAGCGGUAAGUGGAAUGUCUAGUGUAGGAGUGAAAUGCGUAGAUAUUAGAAAGAACACCGAUAGCGAAGGCAGGUGACGGGGACGGGACUGACGCUGAGGCACGAAAGCGUAGGGAGCAAACAGGAUUAGAUACCCCAGUAGUC
Molecule: ribosomal RNA, 442 nt
Filed under: uncultured bacterium
Lineage: Bacteria
Description: partial 16S ribosomal RNA
Rfam family: Bacterial small subunit ribosomal RNA
Source: RNAcentral